Molecule: ribosomal RNA, 378 nt
Filed under: Frankia sp.
Lineage: Bacteria; Bacillati; Actinomycetota; Actinomycetes; Frankiales; Frankiaceae
Description: bacterial SSU rRNA
Rfam family: Bacterial small subunit ribosomal RNA
Source: RNAcentral
GACGAACGCUGGCGGCGUGCUUAACACAUGCAAGUCGAGCGAGGGGCUUCGGCUCCUAGCGGCGAACGGGUGAGUAACACGUGGGCAACCUGCCCCGAGCUCUGGAAUAACUUCGGGAAACCGGGGCUAAUGCCGGAUAUGACACUGCUGGGCAUCUGGUGGUGUGGAAAGAUUUAUCGGCUCGGGAUGGGCCCGCGGCCUAUCAGCUUGUUGGUGGGGUGAUGGCCUACCAAGGCGACGACGGGUAGCCGGCCUGAGAGGGCGACCGGCCACACUGGGACUGAGACACGGCCCAGACUCCUACGGGAGGCAGCAGUGGGGAAUAUUGCGCAAUGGGCGAAAGCCUGACGCAGCGACGCCGCGUGGGGGAUGACGGCC